GAUCAUCUCCGCGAUGCUCAUCAUCCUCUCGUUGAACCUCCCGAACGCCGCCCUGACCUCCCUGUCCGCCAUCCACGCUGACUCCGCAUGCGUGCCCAUGUACUCCUCGCCGGGCGAGUGUGACGAUAGCAGGUUGAGCACCGGCAGGACGAGGGUGGUCUGGUACUGCGAUGGGAACGUGUCUAGUAGCACCCUGACGGGAUC
This 204-nucleotide small RNA is filed under the name Oryza sativa Japonica Group (Japanese rice). RNAcentral describes it as "sRNA Os12g0559250". The record is from RNAcentral. Lineage: Eukaryota; Viridiplantae; Streptophyta; Magnoliopsida; Poales; Poaceae.